CCUUUUGCGUCUGACUUGUAAGAUUCCCUAUCCAACAAAUCUUGGACGUCGCUGUCUCUGGACUCUUUCUUCGGACUUGCGGCUGGGCAAUUGCAAGGUUCACAGGCCUGUGGGGUGCAGCCCACCAACAGGAACUAUUACAGCACUACAUGGUCUGUGGUUGAUGGUGCAGAUGUGGAACCACAGGUAUGGAGGAAACAAAUAAGUGGAGGGCUGAUGGUUGAAGCCCUAACUUCCCCAUGUGACUAUAUUUGGAGGACCUUUAAAGGAGAUAGUUAAGACUAAAUGAUGUCAGAAGGGUGGGGCCUUAACCCAGAACUGAUGUCUUUAAAAGAAGAGACAAUAGGAGCACAAGCAAACAGGAAAAGGCCAUGUGAAGAAACAGCAAGAAGGUGGCUGUCUGCAAGCCCUGGAGAGAAG
Molecule: long non-coding RNA, 420 nt
Organism: Camelus dromedarius (Arabian camel)
Lineage: Eukaryota; Metazoa; Chordata; Mammalia; Artiodactyla; Camelidae
Exons: 3
Source: RefSeq, a predicted model, not a curated record